UACGGAGGGUGCAAGCGUUAUCCGGAUUCACUGGGUUUAAAGGGUGCGUAGGUGGGUCUGUAAGUCAGUGGUGAAAUCCCCGAGCUUAACUUGGGAACUGCCGUUGAUACUAUCAAUCUUGAAUACUGUGGAGGUAAGCGGAAUAUAUCAUGUAGCGGUGAAAUGCUUAGAUAUGAUAUAGAACACCAAUAGCGAAGGCAGCUUACUACGCAGUUAUUGACACUGAGGCUCGAAAGCGUGGGGAGCAAACAGG
Molecule: ribosomal RNA, 253 nt
Filed under: uncultured bacterium
Lineage: Bacteria
Description: partial 16S ribosomal RNA
Rfam family: Bacterial small subunit ribosomal RNA
Source: RNAcentral